Bos taurus (domestic cattle) is the source of this 72-nucleotide non-coding RNA. The record is from Rfam. NCBI's taxonomy places the organism in Eukaryota, Metazoa, Chordata, Mammalia, Artiodactyla, Bovidae.
UCCCCAGUAGCCCAGCAGGUAAAGAAUCUGCCUGCAAUGCAGAAGACCCCGGUUCAAUUCCUGGGUCGGGAA